GCGGCCACUGCUAUCAAGUUCCGACUAAGCCAUGCGAGUCAAGGUAUCGUAAGAUGCCGGCAAACUGCUCAGUAACACGUGGAUAAUCUAACCUUGAGUAAGGGAUAACUUCGGGAAACUGAAGGUAAUACCUUAUAAUUGCUUAAAACUGGAAUGUUUUUGCAAUAAAAGUUACGACGCUCAAGGAUGAGUCUGCGACCUAUCAGGUAGUAGGUGGUGUAAUGGACCACCUAGCCUCAGACGGGUACGGGCCCUGGGAGGGGUAGCCCGGAGAUGGACUCUGAGACAUAAGUCCAGGCCCUACGGGGCGCAGCAGGCGCGAACACUGUGCAAUGCGCGAAAGCGCGACACGGGGAGCUUGAGUGUCUUGGCAUAGCCAAGACUUUUCUCAUUCCUAAAAAGCAUGAGGAAUAAGUGCUGGGUAAGACGGGUGCCAGUCGCCGCGGUAACACCCGCAGCACGAGUAGUGGUCACUUUUAUUGAGCCUAAAGCGUUCGUAGCCGGUUUUGUAAAUCUUCAGAUAAAGCCUGAAGCUUAACUCCAGAAAGUCUGAAGAGACUGCAAGACUUGAGAUCGGGUGAGGUUAAACGUACUUUCAGGGUAGGGGUAAAAUCCUGUAAUCCCGGAAGGACGACCAGUGGCGAAAGCGUUUAACUAGAACGAAUCUGACGGUAAGGAACGAAGGCUAGGGUAGCAAACCGGAUUAGAUACCCGGGUAGUCCUAGCUGUAAACAUUGCCCAUUUGAUGUUGCUUUUCCGUUGAGGGAAGGCAGUGUCGGAGCGAAGGUGUUAAAUGGGCCGCUUGGGAAGUAUGGUCGCAAGACUGAAACUUAA
This 834-nucleotide ribosomal RNA is filed under the name archaeon enrichment culture. Its description in RNAcentral is "bacterial SSU rRNA". It matches the Rfam family "Archaeal small subunit ribosomal RNA", at positions 20 to 859 of the family's 1478-position model. The record is from RNAcentral.